This is a small nucleolar RNA of Psammomys obesus (fat sand rat), 143 nucleotides long. RefSeq annotates it as small nucleolar RNA SNORA48. The transcript has a single exon. The record is from RefSeq and is a predicted model, not a curated record. NCBI's taxonomy places the organism in Eukaryota, Metazoa, Chordata, Mammalia, Rodentia, Muridae.
CACCUCAGAAAUGGGCAAAGAGACACCUUGUUGGUGGUAUGGUUCUUUUAUCAGUCAGGAGCAGAGCAGUUGGGAGUCCUUUGCUCAUUCUAGCUUGAUGCCUAGUUUGGUGGCCAAAGCUGUCUUAUGCCUAAAACUUGUGA